Molecule: long non-coding RNA, 342 nt
Organism: Perognathus longimembris pacificus (Pacific pocket mouse)
Lineage: Eukaryota; Metazoa; Chordata; Mammalia; Rodentia; Heteromyidae
Exons: 3
Source: RefSeq, a predicted model, not a curated record
GCUCCUGCCAACUAUGCUCUGAACGAUGCUUUAUCUUCUGUACCCAUGGCUGACGAGUGAUACCACUACUUCCUGUAUGUGGGGUGCUGAUUUCAAUAUACAUUGAAGUCAGAGGAGGAAUGGCACCGAGAAACCAGCUCACUACCCACCCUCAGAGCUAAAAAGCAGACAAUGACAGCAUUUGCUCCUGGCCAUGGCCCCUCGGGAUUGACCAGAGAAAGAGAAGGCAGAGAGAGAAAGGAAGAGCAGCUUAGCAUUGCCAAGAAUCUAACAGGGCAGCCUCUCUUCAGCCCUGGAAUCCCGCUGUCAGCUGACAGCAUGCUAGCUGUUCUGCUGAUUCCA